UGCGUAGGCGGUUUAUCAAGUCGGAUGUAAAAGCCCCGGGCUCAACCUGGGAUUGCCAUUCGAAACGGAUAGACUAGAGUAGGGUAGAGGAAAGCGGAAUUUCCGGUGUAGCGGUGAAAUGCGUAGAUAUCGGAAGGAACACCAGUGGCGAAGGCGGCUUUCUGGACCCAUACUGACGCUGAGGCACGAAAGCGUGGGUAGCAAACAGGAUUAGAUACCCUGGUAGUCC
RNAcentral lists this ribosomal RNA (229 nucleotides) under uncultured bacterium. RNAcentral describes it as "partial 16S ribosomal RNA". It matches the Rfam family "Bacterial small subunit ribosomal RNA", at positions 568 to 796 of the family's 1533-position model. The record is from RNAcentral.